GACGAACGCUGGCGGCGUGCUUAACACAUGCAAGUCGAACGGAAAGGCCCUGCUUUUGUGGGGUGCUCGAGUGGCGAACGGGUGAGUAACACGUGAGUAACCUGCCCUUGACUUUGGGAUAACUUCAGGAAACUGGGGCUAAUACCGCAUAGGAGCUCCUGCUGCAUGGUGGUGGUUGGAAAGUUUCGGCGGUUGGGGAUGGACUCGCGGCUUAUCAGCUUGUUGGUGGGGUAGUGGCUUACCAAGGCUUUGACGGGUAGCCGGCCUGAGAGGGUGACCGGCCACAGUGGGACUGAGGUAGGGCCCAGACGGCUACGGGAGGCAGCAGUGGAGAAUAUUGCACAAUGGGCGGAAGCCUGAUGCAGCAACGCCGCGUGCGGAAUGACGGCCUUCGGGGUGUAAACAGCUUUCGCCUGUGACGAAGCGUGAGUGACGGUAAUGGGUAAAGAAGCACCGGCUAACUACGUG
This 468-nucleotide ribosomal RNA is filed under the name uncultured bacterium. RNAcentral describes it as "partial 16S ribosomal RNA". It matches the Rfam family "Bacterial small subunit ribosomal RNA", at positions 28 to 507 of the family's 1533-position model. The record is from RNAcentral.